RNAcentral lists this ribosomal RNA (108 nucleotides) under uncultured bacterium. Its description in RNAcentral is "partial 23S ribosomal RNA". It matches the Rfam family "Bacterial large subunit ribosomal RNA", at positions 23 to 129 of the family's 2925-position model. The record is from RNAcentral.
GGGGGAUGCCUGUGGCUCUCAGAGGCGAUGAAGGACGUGACAAGCUGCGAAAAGCUACGGGGAUUGGCAAAUACGAUUUGAUCCGUAAAUAUCCGAAUGGGGCAACCC